AUGUUGGAUGGGUUUGGAGAACUAAAAGAAGCUUGGGUGGUUGUUGAUGGAAUUCCCCCAAAAUGGUGUGUUUGGAAGGUCUUUGCACAGGUUGCUGGAUGUUUUGGAAUCCUUGUGGAUGUUGAUUGGAAUGGCAUUUUCAAAAGCUUCUAUGAAACUAUCAGAAUCAAGAUUGCUUGCAGAGAUCCCUGCAAAAUCCCAUUUGAGAGACUGGUGGAGAUGAAGAAAAUGCUCUACCUGCUGUUUUUCACUGUGGAAGGAUUUGAACAAGUUGGAGAAGAAUCAGAUGGAAAUGAUGAUGAUGACAAGAUAAUGGAGAUGGAAAGAAAGAAAAACUGGAUGAUGACCUGA
Molecule: ribosomal RNA, 351 nt
Filed under: Triticum aestivum (bread wheat)
Lineage: Eukaryota; Viridiplantae; Streptophyta; Magnoliopsida; Poales; Poaceae
Description: partial small subunit ribosomal RNA
Source: RNAcentral